This 447-nucleotide ribosomal RNA is filed under the name uncultured bacterium. RNAcentral describes it as "bacterial SSU rRNA". It matches the Rfam family "Bacterial small subunit ribosomal RNA", at positions 355 to 825 of the family's 1533-position model. The record is from RNAcentral.
UCGGGAAUUUUGGGCAAUGGGCGAAAGCCUGACCCAGCAACGCCGCGUGAAGGAUGAAGUAUUUCGGUAUGUAAACUUCGAAAGAAUAGGAAGAAUAAAUGACGGUACUAUUUAUAAGGUCCGGCUAACUACGUGCCAGCAGCCGCGGUAAUACGUAGGGACCAAGCGUUGUUCGGAUUUACUGGGUGUAAAGGGCGCGUAGGCGGCAAUUCAAGUCAUCUGUGAAAUCUCCGGGCUUAACUCGGAACGGUCAGAUGAUACUGCUUUGCUAGAGUGCAGAAGGGGCAAUCGGAAUUCUUGGUGUAGCGGUGAAAUGCGUAGAUAUCAAGAGGAACACCUGAGGUGAAGGCGGAUCUCUGGACCGGUUCUGACGCUGAGGAGCGAAAGCUAGGGGAGCAAACAGGAUUAGAUACCCACGUAGUCCCUGAGCGGGCUGGCAAGGCGCAU